Molecule: unclassified non-coding RNA, 385 nt
Filed under: Chrysogonum sp. Schilling-95-1
Lineage: Eukaryota; Viridiplantae; Streptophyta; Magnoliopsida; Asterales; Asteraceae
Description: partial external transcribed spacer
Source: RNAcentral
GCUUUCCUCAUUGACGUAGCCCACCCACCGGUACCAGCCCAUGCGGGAAGGGCAGUCAUUUAAAGAGAAGCAUAAACGCUAAACAAGGACAUAACAAGGUUCCAUGAGACCCUAUGCCCACAUUUGGUUCCGUAUACAAGAUUUCAAGCAAUGCUCAAAUGAGCCACAACAUCAAUGCAAGCACUAAUGAAGUGGAUCAAAGAGAAAGCUUCAUGGUUUAUCUCAUGCCAAUCAAAUGACAAAAGACAAAGGCUACUUCAUUAGAUCUAGACAAUACCACAACUUAGGUAAGCAACACAGGAAACUCACAAUCUACACAGGUGAUAUGAACACCUAGGCAACCAACUGAAAAGGUAAGUCAGGUGGCAGUUGUUGCGCAAGCAAA